RNAcentral lists this long non-coding RNA (211 nucleotides) under Aquila chrysaetos chrysaetos. Its description in RNAcentral is "lncRNA (ENSACCG00020004013.1)". The record is from RNAcentral. Lineage: Eukaryota; Metazoa; Chordata; Aves; Accipitriformes; Accipitridae.
GCGGCGGCGCCGCAUCGAGGCGGCCAUUUUGUGGCGCUGCGCGGUCGGUGGCGCUGGGCUCGGCGCGGAGCGGGGCCCGGGGCAGUUCGGCUCCGUUCUAACCCUUUUUCCCGUACAGAUCCCUCGUCUAAAAGUUGGUUUUAAUUGGUUGCCCACAGGAUUGGCUUGGCUUCUGCUACUUGUUAAGAAAAAAACAUCUGUCUUUGCAGGU